Molecule: long non-coding RNA, 502 nt
Filed under: Bos indicus x Bos taurus (hybrid cattle)
Lineage: Eukaryota; Metazoa; Chordata; Mammalia; Artiodactyla; Bovidae
Description: lncRNA (ENSBIXG00005030588.1)
Source: RNAcentral
UUUUCUGAAGGUUAAUUGGCUUUUUCUCUUUUUGUUUUUUUCCUCCACAGAAUUACCAUCUAACACAAGGCCACUUUUCAAGAUGAAGGAGGGAUUGAACUGUCACACCAGUGUAAUCAAUUAAAUGACGGAGGAAGGAGGCAUUUGCUACCUGACCUUAAUCUCCUGGGCAAGAAUGACUGAAUGGGGAAGGCUGAAUACACUUUAAAUCACAAUGGAGAGGUCUACAAUAUUUCUGAAACUUCUUCAGGAGCAGAACUGAAUGAACUUUGGAGCUGCUUGGGCUCUGAUAGAAUUAGUCCUUCUUAGCAGCCGAAUCCAUUUGGCUGUUUCUAUUUGUGGAGUCAAUUGUGAGACAUCCAUUUAUCAUAGCUGUGGAAAACUAGCAGAAGGUCCAGAGGAAAGCCAUGGAAACAAUGAAGAACCAGGAAAAUGGAUUUCAGCCAUGUAUCCAGGAGAGCUUCAAGAACUUGGCUUUAUGGAGGAAAGCUGUGAGAGGUAG